CUCUCUGUUUCCUGACCUGAUCAUCAUGUGGGCCGCCUCCCUCUGUCACACUCUCCUGCCAUGAUGUACAACCUCACCUCUCAAGCCCCGAGGAAUGGAGCCAGCCUUCUAUGGACUAAGACCUCUGAAACUAUGAGCCCUCAAAUAAACUCUUCCUCCUCUACAGUUGUUCUGGUCAGAUCCUUUAGUCACAGCAGCAAAAAAGCUGACUAAAACAUCCCGUGUCACCUACUAAAGCCAACAUUUUUCCAGAAGUGCCAGUUGAUUUCUGGUGAUGCUUCAUUGUAUGAAACUGUGUUCCACAGUCACCCCUGGCUACAAGGGCAUCUGAACAGAUACAAGUUCAGCUUUCCCGGCCUCUCUAAUUGUAUCUGUUUCCUGCUGUAACAAAGUACCACUAGCUGGGUAAACUAAACAACAGAUUUUUUUUUUCUUCUUUUGGUUCUGGAGGUUAGAAAUCUGAAAUCCAGGUGUUGGCAGGGCUGGUUCCUCCUGAGGCCUGUGAAGAAGUCUCUGUUCCAUUCAUCUCAACUAGCUCUUGAUGGCUCAGGCCUACCUUGACUUUAGGAUGAUGUUCUCCCUUGACUUAUAUUUUUCUGCAUAUCAGACUUUGUGUCCAAAUUUCCCCUUUUAAUAAAGACACCGGCCAAAGUGAAUUGGAUCCUAAGGUAAUGACUUCAUUUAAAUUUUAUUAUUUCUGUAAAGAGCUUGUUUCCAAAAUAAGGCCAUAUUCGAGGUACUGGGGUACCUGGGGAUGGUACCCCACAAAAGUGGUCAUGAACUAAAUGGAGUGGGUAGAGUUAGGGAAAUUUGACUUAAGUACCUGGCACCUGAUAACUUACUUUAUAUAUUUCCUAAGUGAACAUUGCAUCUUGGAUGAUCAACAAGAGUUGUUUAUCUCCAGAGGCACUGGUGCCUGAGUGACCCAGUAGCUUUCCUGACUUAGAGCCCUUCUGUUUCUGCUUACUUCAGUCUCAGAGCAAAAUGCUUCUCUGAUGAAAUCAACAAAUCCUUGUCCUUGGAAAGUGAAUUACCUCUGUUAGGGCGUUAUGACUUCACUUUCAAACACGGUACUGCUGCCUCUUGAAGCAGAGUUUACUACAGUGUCUUUUUUGUUGUUGUUUAAAAACCAGGGGUAUUUGUUCUUUGUGAUACCCACCCCUAUUUCCUACACCUCUAGGGUGGAAAUCCCAGGCACAUUCUGUCGCAGGGACUAUCA
This 1219-nucleotide long non-coding RNA is filed under the name Marmota monax (woodchuck). Lineage: Eukaryota; Metazoa; Chordata; Mammalia; Rodentia; Sciuridae. The record is from RNAcentral.